Brachypodium distachyon (stiff brome) is the source of this 136-nucleotide non-coding RNA. The record is from Rfam. NCBI's taxonomy places the organism in Eukaryota, Viridiplantae, Streptophyta, Magnoliopsida, Poales, Poaceae.
UUAGUACUCCCUCCGUCCAACAAAAAAUGUCUCAAGUUUGUCAAAAUUUGGAUGUAUCUAGACAUGACUUAGUGUAUAGAUGCAUUCAAAUUUAAUCAAACUUGAGACAUCUUUUGUCAGACGAAGGAAGUACAAA